This 223-nucleotide unclassified non-coding RNA is filed under the name plant metagenome. RNAcentral's name for it is "partial contains small subunit ribosomal RNA, internal transcribed spacer 1, and 5.8S ribosomal RNA". The record is from RNAcentral.
UUUCCGUAGGUGAACCUGCGGAAGGAUCAUUAAAGAAUGCCCCGUUUUUCGAAAUGGGUUCUAUUCCCAAACCGUGUCUACAUACCUUUGUUGCUUUGGCGGGCCGCCUUCGGCGUUGGCCUCGGCUAACUGUGCCCGCCAGAGGACCCAAACUCGUUUUGUUUAGUGAUGUCUGAGUACUAUAAAAUAGUUAAAACUUUCAACAACGGAUCUCUUGGUUCUG